This 284-nucleotide unclassified non-coding RNA is filed under the name plant metagenome. RNAcentral describes it as "partial contains small subunit ribosomal RNA, internal transcribed spacer 1, and 5.8S ribosomal RNA". The stretch from base 1 to 53 matches the Rfam family "Eukaryotic small subunit ribosomal RNA", at positions 1779 to 1831 of the family's 1831-position model. The record is from RNAcentral.
GGAAUAAAAGUCGUAACAAGGUUUCCGUAGGUGAACCUGCGGAAGGAUCAUUAUUGUAUAACCGAGGUGCGAGGGCUGUCGCUGACCCGAAAGGUCGUGCACGCCCGAGUGCCCUCACACACAACCAUCUCACCCCUAUGUGCACCACCGCGUGGGUCCCCCUUUGGCUUGUUCGGAGGGGGGCUUACGUUUUCACACAAACUUUGUAUGCAGUGUAGAAUGUAUUUUUUGUUUUUGCGAUCACGCAAUCAAUACAACUUUCAACAACGGAUCUCUUGGCUCUC